This 468-nucleotide ribosomal RNA is filed under the name uncultured bacterium. RNAcentral's name for it is "partial 16S ribosomal RNA". It matches the Rfam family "Bacterial small subunit ribosomal RNA", at positions 28 to 507 of the family's 1533-position model. The record is from RNAcentral.
GACGAACGCUGGCGGCGUGCUUAACACAUGCAAGUCGAACGGAAAGGCCCUGCAUUUGUGGGGUGCUCGAGUGGCGAACGGGUGAGUAACACGUGAGUAACCUGCCCUUGACUUUGGGAUAACUUCAGGAAACUGGGGCUAAUACCGGAUAGGAGCUCCUGCUGCAUGGUGGGGGUGGGAAAGUUUCGGCGGUUGGGGAUGGACUCGCGGCUUAUCAGCUUGUUGGUGGGGUAGUGGCUUACCAAGGCUUUGACGGGUAGCCGGCCUGAGAGGGUGACCGGCCACAUUGGGACUGAGAUACGGCCCAGACUCCUACGGGAGGCAGCAGUGGGGAAUAUUGCACAAUGGGCGGAAGCCUGAUGCAGCAACGCCGCGUGCGGGAUGACGGCCUUCGGGUUGUAACCCGCUUUCGCCUGUGACGAAGCGUGAGUGACGGUAAUGGGUAAAGAAGCACCGGCUAACUACGUG